This 584-nucleotide ribosomal RNA is filed under the name uncultured bacterium. Its description in RNAcentral is "partial 16S ribosomal RNA". It matches the Rfam family "Bacterial small subunit ribosomal RNA", at positions 355 to 937 of the family's 1533-position model. The record is from RNAcentral.
UGGGGAAUUUUGGACAAUGGGCGAAAGCCCGAUCCAGCAAUGCCGCGUGUGUGAAGAAGGCCUUCGGGUUGUAAAGCACUUUUGUCCGGAAAGAAAUCCUCUGGGUUAAUACCUCGGGGGGAUGACGGUACCGGAAGAAUAAGCACCGGCUAACUACGUGCCAGCAGCCGCGGUAAUACGUAGGGUGCAAGCGUUAAUCGGAAUUACUGGGCGUAAAGCGUGCGCAGGCGGUUUUGUAGACGGAUGUGAAAUCCCCGGGCUUAACCUGGGAACUGCAUUCGUGACUGCAAGGCUAGAGUAUGGCAGAGGGGGGUAGAAUUCCACGUGUAGCAGUGAAAUGCGUAGAGAUGUGGAGGAAUACCGAUGGCGAAGGCAGCCCCCUGGGCCAAUACUGACGCUCAUGCACGAAAGCGUGGGGAGCAAACAGGAUUAGAUACCCUGGUAGUCCACGCCCUAAACGAUGUCAACUAGUUGUUGGGGAUUCAUUUCCUUAGUAACGUAGCUAACGCGUGAAGUUGACCGCCUGGGGAGUACGGUCCGCAAGAUUAAAACUCAAAUGAAUUGACGGGGUCAUAGCUGUUUCC